GACGAACGCUGGCGGCGUGCUUAACACAUGCAAGUCGAACGCUGAAGCUCAGCUUUUGUUGGGUGGAUGAGUGGCGAACGGGUGAGUAACACGUGAGUAACCUGCCUCCUUCUUUGGGAUAACGCCCGGAAACGGGCGCUAAUACUGGAUAUUCACUGGUCUUCGCAUGGGGGUUGGUGGAAAGGGUUUUUCUGGUGGGUGAUGGGCUCGCGGCCUAUCAGCUUGUUGGUGGGGUGAUGGCCUACCAAGGCUUUGACGGGUAGCCGGCCUGAGAGGGUGACCGGUCACAUUGGGACUGAGAUACGGCCCAGACUCCUACGGGAGGCAGCAGUGGGGAAUAUUGCACAAUGGGCGCAAGCCUGAUGCAGCGACGCCGCGUGAGGGAUGGAGGCCUUCGGGUUGUGAACCUCUUUCGCUCAUGGUCAAGCCGCAACAAUGGUUGUGGUGAGGGUAGUGGGUAAAGAAGCGCCGGCUAACUACGUG
This 483-nucleotide ribosomal RNA is filed under the name uncultured bacterium. RNAcentral describes it as "partial 16S ribosomal RNA". It matches the Rfam family "Bacterial small subunit ribosomal RNA", at positions 28 to 507 of the family's 1533-position model. The record is from RNAcentral.